GAACUCACCGUAUAGUCUGUUUACAUGCAUAACUUUCUCCGACUUUCUAGGACGUGUUUUAUGCCACUUCUUUUUCUGUCUCAUUUUGUCCACCACACUUUUAACGUUGUACAUGAGUGCACAAAGGUCCAAUAUGGCUCUUUCAACAUUUUGGGUUGCCGACCCCUGACCUAGCCGAUGCUAGCCGCCAAACCCACGGAUGAAGUCCUUCGUCGCGCCGUCUAUCGCUGGAACGCAGCGCUUCCCGUGUUCCCCUGUGUCUGUGAUCCCUUGUUGUUCCCCUGCCCCCCGGACUGCCUUUUGGAUUCUCGACCUCCCGCUUGGACUUCCUUCUCUGACGCUUCUCUCUCGCCCCGGAACACCUGCCUGCCCCAUGGACUGCCCGUUUGCUCUCGUCAACACUUGGUAACACACUUCAGUUAACUACACACAUAGUCUUACACCACACACUCAUUCCCUUUCGGAUCUAGUUCACACUCCAUUUCCUUAGUUUAUUAUAUUAGUCUUGUUUGUUAUUAUUAUAUAUAUAUUGAAUAUUUAUAUAUUUAUAAUAAAUAAUUGUACAUACUGCCCCCUGGUGCCUGUUUGCCGUCACCUCCCCUUAGUGAUACACAACAGCGGGUACUAGACUGGCCUGCCUGUAGUCCAGACCUGUCUCCCAUUGAAAAUGUGUGGCGCAUUAUGAAGUCUAAAAUACCAAAACGGAGACCCCCGGACUGUUGAACAACUUAAGCUGUACAUCAAGCAAGAAUGGGAAAGAAUUCCACCUGAGAAGCUUAAAAAAUGUGUCUCCUCAGUUCCCAAAUGUUUACUGAGUGUUGUUAAAAGGAAAGGCCAUGUAACACAGUGGUGAACAUGCCCUUUCCCAACUACUUUGGCACGUGUUGCAGCCAUGAAA
Long non-coding RNA from Entelurus aequoreus (snake pipefish), 898 nucleotides. RefSeq lists it as uncharacterized. NCBI's taxonomy places the organism in Eukaryota, Metazoa, Chordata, Actinopteri, Syngnathiformes, Syngnathidae. The record is from RefSeq and is a predicted model, not a curated record. The transcript has 3 exons.